Molecule: transfer RNA, 86 nt
Filed under: Herelleviridae sp.
Lineage: Duplodnaviria; Heunggongvirae; Uroviricota; Caudoviricetes; Herelleviridae
Description: tRNA-Thr
Rfam family: tRNA
About the family: Transfer RNA (tRNA) molecules are approximately 80 nucleotides in length. Their secondary structure includes four short double-helical elements and three loops (D, anti-codon, and T loops). Further hydrogen bonds mediate the characteristic L-shaped molecular structure. tRNAs have two regions of fundamental functional importance: the anti-codon, which is responsible for specific mRNA codon recognition, and the 3' end, to which the tRNAs corresponding amino acid is attached (by aminoacyl-tRNA synthetases). tRNAs cope with the degeneracy of the genetic code in two manners: having more than one tRNA (with a specific anti-codon) for a particular amino acid; and 'wobble' base-pairing, i.e. permitting non-standard base-pairing at the 3rd anti-codon position.
Source: RNAcentral
GCAGGAAUCGCCUAGCGGUCGAUGGCACGGGUCUUGUAAGCCCGCUUCUUUACGAACACGUCAGUUCAAAUCUGACUUCCUGCUCA